AUUGAGCGCUGGCGGCAGGCCUAACACAUGCAAGUCGAACGGUAACAGGAAGCAGCUUGCUGCUUCGCUGACGAGUGGCGGACGGGUGAGUAAUGUCUGGGAAGCUGCCUGAUGGAGGGGGAUAACUACUGGAAACGGUAGCUAAUACCGCAUAAUGUCGCAAGACCAAAGAGGGGGACCUUCGGGCCUCUUGCCAUCGGAUGUGCCCAGAUGGGAUUAGCUUGUUGGUGGGGUAACGGCUCACCAAGGCGACGAUCCCUAGCUGGUCUGAGAGGAUGACCAGCCACACUGGAACUGAGACACGGUCCAGACUCCUACGGGAGGCAGCAGUGGGGAAUAUUGCACAAUGGGCGCAAGCCUGAUGCAGCCAUGCCGCGUGUAUGAAGAAGGCCUUCGGGUUGUAAAGUACUUUCAGCGGGGAGGAAGGGAGUAAAGUUAAUACCUUUGCUCAUUGACGUUACCCGCAGAAGAAGCACCGGCUAACUCCGU
RNAcentral lists this ribosomal RNA (489 nucleotides) under uncultured bacterium. RNAcentral describes it as "partial 16S ribosomal RNA". It matches the Rfam family "Bacterial small subunit ribosomal RNA", at positions 30 to 506 of the family's 1533-position model. The record is from RNAcentral.